ACGCUGGCGGCGUGCCUAAUACAUGCAAGUAGAACGCUGAAGAGAGGAGCUUGCUCUUCUUGGAUGAGUUGCGAACGGGUGAGUAACGCGUAGGUAACCUGCCUUGUAGCGGGGGAUAACUAUUGGAAACGAUAGCUAAUACCGCAUAACAAUGGAUGACACAUGUCAUUUAUUUGAAAGGGGCAAUUGCUCCACUACAAGAUGGACCUGCGCUGUAUUAGCUAGUAGGUGAGGUAACGGCUCACCUAGGCGACGAUACAUAGCCGACCUGAGAGGGUGAUCGGCCACACUGGGACUGAGAUACGGCCCAGACUCCUACGGGAGGCAGCAGUAGGGAAUCUUCGGCAAUGGGGGCAACCCUGACCGAGCAACGCCGCGUGAGUGAAGAAGGUUUUCGGAUCGUAAAGCUCAGUUGUAAGUCAAGAACGAGUGUGAGAGUGGAAAGUUCACACUGUGACGGUAGCUUACCAGAAAGGGACGGCUAACUACGUGCCAGCAGCCGCGGUAAUACGUAGGUCCCGAGCGUUGUCCGGAUUUAUUGGGCGUAAAGCGAGCGCAGGCGGUUUGAUAAGUCUGAAGUUAAAGGCUGUGGCUCAACCAUAGUUCGCUUUGGAAACUGUCAAACUUGAGUGCAGAAGGGGAGAGUGGAAUUCCAUGUGUAGCGGUGAAAUGCGUAGAUAUAUGGAGGAACACCGGUGGCGAAAGCGGCUCUCUGGUCUGUAACUGACGCUGAGGCUCGAAAGCGUGGGGAGCGAACAGGAUUAGAUACCCUGGUAGUCCACGCCGUAAACGAUGAGUGCUAGGUGUUGGAUCCUUUCCGGGAUUCAGUGCCGCAGCUAACGCAUUAAGCACUCCGCCUGGGGAGUACGACCGCAAGGUUGAAACUCAAAGGAAUUGACGGGGGCCCGCACAAGCGGUGGAGCAU
This 925-nucleotide ribosomal RNA is filed under the name uncultured bacterium. Its description in RNAcentral is "bacterial SSU rRNA". It matches the Rfam family "Bacterial small subunit ribosomal RNA", at positions 33 to 940 of the family's 1533-position model. The record is from RNAcentral.